UACGUAGGUGGCAAGCGUUACUCGGAAUCACUAGGCGUAAAGCGCGGGUAGGCGGUUUGGUAAGUCUGUUGUGAAAGCUCCUGGCUCAACUGGGAGAGGUCAACGGAAACUGCCAGGCUAGAGUGUGGUAGGGGAAGCUAGAAUUCCCGGUGUAGCGGUGAAAUGCGUAGAUAUCGGGAGGAAUACCUAUGGCGAAAGCAGGCUUCUGGGCCACCACUGACGCUAAUCUGCGAAAGCUAGGGGAGCAAACAGG
Molecule: ribosomal RNA, 253 nt
Filed under: uncultured bacterium
Lineage: Bacteria
Description: partial 16S ribosomal RNA
Rfam family: Bacterial small subunit ribosomal RNA
Source: RNAcentral